AUUGAACGCUGGCGGCAGGCCUAACACAUGCAAGUCGAGCGGAUGAAGGGAGCUUGCUCCUGGAUUCAGCGGCGGACGGGUGAGUAAUGCCUAGGAAUCUGCCUGGUAGUGGGGGAUAACGUCGUGAAACGGGCGCUAAUACCGCAUACGUCCUGAGGGAGAAAGUGGGGGAUCUUCGGACCUCACGCUAUCAGAUGAGCCUAGGUCGGAGUAGCUAGUUGGUGGGGUAAAGGCCUACCAAGGCGACGAUCCGUAACUGGUCUGAGAGGAUGAUCAGUCACACUGGAACUGAGACACGGUCCAGACUCCUACGGGAGGCAGCAGUGGGGAAUAUUGGACAAUGGGCGAAAGCCUGAUCCAGCCAUGCCGCGUGUGUGAAGAAGGUCUUCGGAUUGUAAAGCACUUUAGGUUGGGAGGAAGGGCAGUAAGUUAAUACCUUGCUGUUUUGACGUUACCCACAGAAUAAGCACCGGCUAACUUCGUG
This 484-nucleotide ribosomal RNA is filed under the name uncultured bacterium. RNAcentral describes it as "partial 16S ribosomal RNA". It matches the Rfam family "Bacterial small subunit ribosomal RNA", at positions 30 to 507 of the family's 1533-position model. The record is from RNAcentral.